GGAUACAGUUAUUUUGUUCAUUAGUGAACAAGAGUCUCACCUUCAUCAGUGUUUCCCUCAGAACACAUGGAGGAACUACCAACCUGGAACAAGGAAUGUUGCCAUCCUGCCCUUCCUGAAGGUAUUAGUUGGCAUGGAUACCUGGCUCCAAUCCACCACCAGCUGCCACGCUCAAGUCCCCACCUGGAGGUGGAGGGAAACAAUGAAAAAGAAAAUAUAACUUCAACUGUGCAGAAGAAGAAAUUGAAGCCAAAUUUUAAAAUGAACCAGCUCAGGCUGGCUGGUAUGACGUGGAUGGAUGGACUGUCAUGAAACCCAGGGUAGGAUACCCAGAAGCAAUAUGGAGUUGUGCAAGGAGAAAGGUGAACCGAGGCCCUGAAGCUGCUCAGGAA
RNAcentral lists this long non-coding RNA (392 nucleotides) under Fukomys damarensis (Damara mole-rat). RNAcentral describes it as "lncRNA (ENSFDAG00000025148.1)". The record is from RNAcentral. Lineage: Eukaryota; Metazoa; Chordata; Mammalia; Rodentia; Bathyergidae.